This 1333-nucleotide ribosomal RNA is filed under the name Chlamydiales bacterium cvE60. RNAcentral describes it as "bacterial SSU rRNA". It matches the Rfam family "Bacterial small subunit ribosomal RNA", at positions 93 to 1407 of the family's 1533-position model. The record is from RNAcentral. Lineage: Bacteria; Pseudomonadati; Chlamydiota; Chlamydiia; Chlamydiales.
UAGUGGCGAAAGGGUUAGUAAUACAUGGGUAAUGUACCUUCAACUCUGGGAUAACAACUGGAAACGGACGCUAAUACCAAAUGAAGUGAAUUAAUGGCAUCACGACCAUUAAAGUGGGGGACUGAUUCGGCCCUUGCGGUUAAAGAGGAGCUCAUGCGAUAUCAGCUUGUUGGUGAGGUAAUGGCUCACCAAGGCUAAGACGUCUAGGCGGGUUGAGAGAUCGACCGCCAACACUGGGACUGAGACACUGCCCAGACUCCUACGGGAGGCUGCAGUCGAGAAUCUUUCGCAAUGGACGAAAGCCUGACGAAGCGACGCUGCGUGAUCGAAGAAGGCCUUCGGGUUGUAAAGAUCUUUCGCUUAGGAACAAGAGAACUGCAUUAAUACUGUGUUGAUUUGAGCGUACUAGGUAAAGAAGCACCGGCUAACUCCGUGCCAGCAGCUGCGGUAAUACGGAGGGUGCGAGCGUUAAUCGGAUUUAUUGGGCGUAAAGGGCACCUAGGCGGAUAAGUAAGUCAGACGUGAAAUCUCGGGGCUCAACCUCGAGGCUGCACUUGAAACUACAAUUCUUGAGGGUAGACGGAGAAAAUGGAAUUCCAUGUGUAGCGGUGAAAUGCGUAGAUAUAUGGAAGAACACCAGUGGCGAAGGCGGUUUUCUAGCUUAUUCCUGACGCUGAAGUGCGAAAGCUAGGGGAGCGAACAGGAUUAGAUACCCUGGUAGUCCUAGCCGUAAACGAUGUGUACUUGGUGUAGUCGGACUCAACCCCGGCUGUGCCGUAGCUAACGCGUUAAGUACACCGCCUGAGGAGUACGCUCGCAGGUGUGAAACUCAAAAGAAUUGACGGGGACCCGCACAAGCAGUGGAGCAUGUGGUUUAAUUCGAUGCAACGCGAAGAACCUUACCCAGGCUUGACAUUCAGCGGACAGCGCCAGAGAUGGCGUCUCCUUCGGGACCUCUAAACAGGUGCUGCAUGGCUGUCGUCAGCUCGUGCCGUGAGGUGUUGGGUUAAGUCCCGCAACGAGCGCAACCCUUAUCGUUAGUUGCCAGCAUUUCAGAUGGGGACUCUAACGAGACUGCCUGGGUUAACUAGGAGGAAGGUGAGGAUGACGUCAAGUCCGCAUGGCCCUUAUGUCUGGGGCUACACACGUGCUAUAAUGGCCGGUACAGCAGGCAGCAAAGCCGCAAGGUGGAGCAAAUCCUUAAAGCCGGUCCCAGUUCGGAUUGGAGUCUGCAACUCGACUCCAUGAAGUUGGAAUUGCUAGUAAUGACGUGUCAGCAAUAACGCCGUGAAUACGUUCCCGGGUCUUGUACACACCGCCCGUCACAUCAUGG